Long non-coding RNA from Hemicordylus capensis (graceful crag lizard), 606 nucleotides. RefSeq lists it as uncharacterized. NCBI's taxonomy places the organism in Eukaryota, Metazoa, Chordata, Lepidosauria, Squamata, Cordylidae. The transcript has 3 exons. The record is from RefSeq and is a predicted model, not a curated record.
UGCAGAUCACGGAGGAUCAUUUUUCGGUUUUCCGAAAGCGCCGUAAAGAGCCCAGUCUUUCAAAGCUAUUCCAGCUGCCUGAGCUGUAUAGACAUUUGCUUUUAUUAUGUCUUCUGGGAAUUAGAGCAGUGUUUAUCUUCUUCCCUUCAGACAUUAGAGAUCACAUUACUUCUUGUGUUUGACACAGAAGAGCCGGAGAAGUGGCAGGGAUGCUGAGCUAAGAAACGACUGAAAACAACAGCUAGGAAGAAUGAGUCCAGACAUCACCCAAGCUACUAGGACUUGGAAAGCUAUUGCAACAGCUGCUCUACUCAAAGAGCCAACUCCGGGCGCCCAUAGAUCAAACUGAAAUCCUUGGGAGCAGAAGACUAUUUAUGCUAGCCUCUUAAUUGAACAUUCCUUUGCCAGCCAAGACGUUCCAGGCUCUGCUACACAAAUAAUGCACGCUAAUUUGCAGUUAAGCGCUCUGGUUGGAAACGUGUUUAUAAAUAUCUUGCUCAGCUAAGGAAAGAGCGCCCGACAGAAGGAAGAACCUCAAGACUCUCGUGUUUUCGCAGGCUUUUAAUUAGAAUGAAUUUUAAUAAUUUAAAAACUUGUUUUAAUAUA